GCUGGGUUUGAUGGCUCAUGUCUGUAAUCCCAGCUAUUUGGGAGGCUGAGGCAGGAGAAUUGCAAGUUCAAGGCAAGUUUGAGGCCAGCCUUGGCAUCUUAAGGAGACCUGCCUCAA
RNAcentral lists this small RNA (117 nucleotides) under Marmota monax (woodchuck). Lineage: Eukaryota; Metazoa; Chordata; Mammalia; Rodentia; Sciuridae. The record is from RNAcentral.